RNAcentral lists this unclassified non-coding RNA (402 nucleotides) under soil metagenome. RNAcentral's name for it is "partial contains 5.8S ribosomal RNA, internal transcribed spacer 2, and large subunit ribosomal RNA". The stretch from base 1 to 121 matches the Rfam family "5.8S ribosomal RNA", at positions 35 to 154 of the family's 154-position model. The record is from RNAcentral.
GAUGAAGAACGCAGCGAAAUGCGAUAAGUAAUGUGAAUUGCAGAAUUCAGUGAAUCAUCGAAUCUUUGAACGCACCUUGCGCCCUUUGGCUAUUCCGAAGGGCAUGCCUGUUUGAGUAUCGUGAACACCUCAACUCUCAUGGUUUGCCAUGAUGAGCUUGGACUUUGGGGGUUUUGCUGGCCUUUGGUCGGCUCCUCUCAAACGGAUCAGCUUUCCAGUGUUUGGUGGCGUCACGGGUGUGAUAACUAUCUACGCCUGUGGUUUUCUGCCAGAUAACCUUCAGCGAUGGAGGUUCGCUGGGGCUNAUAAAUGUCUCUCUUCAGUGGAGACAGCUUUUUGGACGUUUGAUCUCAAAUCAGGUAGGACUACCCGCUGAACUUAAGCAUAUCAAUAAGCGGAGGA